RNAcentral lists this ribosomal RNA (853 nucleotides) under uncultured bacterium. Its description in RNAcentral is "bacterial SSU rRNA". It matches the Rfam family "Bacterial small subunit ribosomal RNA", at positions 27 to 902 of the family's 1533-position model. The record is from RNAcentral.
GGACGAACGCUUGCGACGUGCCUAAGAAAUGCAAGUCGAGCGAGGCAGCAAUGCCUAGCGGCGAACGGUCGCGUAACACGUAAGCAACCUGCCCCAAAGACCGGGACAACGUUUCGAAAGGAGCGCUAAUACCGGAUGUGCCCGCCUAUUGACAUCGAUGGGUGAGUAAAUCAAGCAAUUGGCUUUGGGAGGGGCUUGCGGCCUAUCAGCUAGAUGGUGGGGUAACGGCCUACCAUGGCGACGACGGGUAGCUGGUCUGAGAGGAUGGUCAGCCGGAUUGGGACUGAGAUACGGCCCAGACUCCUACGGGGGGCAGCAAUUAGGAAUCUUGCGCAAUGGGCGAAAGCCUGACGCAGCGACGUCGCGUGGGGGAGGAAGGCUUUCGGGUUGUAAACCCCUUUUGUCGAGGAAGAAACAAAUGACGGUACUCGACGAAUAAGCCCCGGCUAACUCCGUGCCAGCAGCCGCGGUAAUACGGAGGGGGCUAGCGUUGUCCGAAGUUACUGGGCGUAAAGCGCGCGUAGGCGGGUUGGUAAGUCCGCUGUGAAAGCCCGGAGCUCAACUCCGGAGGGUCGGUGGAUACUGCCAGUCUUGAAGGUGCUAGGGGGAGAUGGAAUUACCGGUGUAGCGGUGAAAUGCGUAGAUAUCGGUAGGAACACCAGUGGCGAAGGCGGUCUCCUGGGGCAUUCUUGACGCUGAGGCGCGAAAGCUGGGGGAGCGAACGGGAUUAGAUACCCCGGUAGUCCCAGCCCUAAACGAUGGAUACUAGGUGUCGGGGGUAUCGACCCCCCCGGUGCCGCCGCUAACGCAGUAAGUAUCCCGCCUGGGGAGUACGGCCGCAAGGUUGAAACUC